GAUGAACGCUGGCGGCGUGCUUAACACAUGCAAGUCGAACGGAAAGGCCGAAGCUUGCUUCGGUACUCGAGUGGCGAACGGGUGAGUAACACGUGGGUGAUCUGCCCUGUACUUCGGGAUAAGCUUGGGAAACUGGGUCUCAUACCGGAUAUGACGAUCUCUUGGAUGGGGUUGUGGAAAGCUUUUGCGGUAUGGGAUGAGCUCGCGGCCUAUCAGCUUGUUGGUGGGGUAAUGGCCUACCAAGGCGUCGACGGGUAGCCGGCCUGUGAGGGUGUACGGCCACAUUGGAACUGAGAUACAGCCCAGACUCCUACGGGAGGCAGCAGUGGGGAAUAUUGCACAAUGGGCGCAAGCCUGAUGCAGCGAGGCCUCGUGGGGGAUGACGGCCUUCGGGUUGUAAACUCCUUUCGCAAUCGACGAAGCCUUUUGGUGACGGUAGGUUGAGAAGAAGCACCGGCUAACUACGUG
This 468-nucleotide ribosomal RNA is filed under the name uncultured bacterium. RNAcentral's name for it is "partial 16S ribosomal RNA". It matches the Rfam family "Bacterial small subunit ribosomal RNA", at positions 28 to 507 of the family's 1533-position model. The record is from RNAcentral.